Molecule: long non-coding RNA, 258 nt
Filed under: Mytilus galloprovincialis (Mediterranean mussel)
Lineage: Eukaryota; Metazoa; Mollusca; Bivalvia; Mytilida; Mytilidae
Source: RNAcentral
GUGGAAAUAGUGGAAAAGUAAUAUCUUUUCAGUACAGAUAAUAAGAGUUUACUUUGUCAAUUAAUGUAAAAAAGAAAAUAAGCUGUGAUUGCCAAUGAGACAACUCUGCACACGAGAUAAAAUGACACAGAAAUUACGAAUAUAGGUCACCGUACGACCUUCAACAAUGAGCAAAACCGCUACCGCAUAGUCAGAUAUAAAAGGCCUUGAAAUGACAAAUGUAAAACAAUAAAAAAAACAAAAAUAAAAAAAAAAAAA